AAUUCGAUUGAGUUUGAUCAUGGCUCAGGAUAAACGCUGGCGGCGUGCCUUACGCAUGCAAGUCGCACGGGCGUCUCUUUCGGGAGAUGUCAGUGGCGGACGGGUGAGUAACACGUACGUGACCUGCCCUCUGGCGGGGGACAACGGCCCGAAAGGGUCGCUAAUACCGCAUGAGGUCCUUGGUGUGCGCACCGAGGACGAAACCUGAAAGGGGCCAGGGGAGGGGCGUGCGGGGGAUUAGCUGGUUGGUGGGGUAACGGCCUACCAAGGCGACGAUCCCUAGCUGGUCUGAGAGGACGGCCAGCCACAUGGGGACUGAGACACGGCCCCAACUCCUACGGGAGGCAGCAGCGAGGAAUCUUGGUCAAUGGGCGCAAGCCUGAACCAGCGACGCCGCGUGGGGGAUGACGGCCCUUGGGUUGUAAACCCCUGUUGUGUGGGACGAAGAACUGACGGUACCACACGAGGAAGCCACGGCUAACUACGUGCCAGCAGCCGCGGUAAUACGUAGGUGGCGAGCGUUGUCCGGAUUUACUGGGCGUAAAGCGCGCGCAGGUAGCACGUCAAGUCUGGUGUGAAAGCCUCCGGCUCAACCGGAGGAGGCCACUGGAGACUGACGCGCUUGAGGUGGGUAGGGGCCGGUGGAAUUCCCGGUGUAGUGGUGAAAUGCGUAGAUAUCGUGAGGAACACCAGUGGCGAAAGCGGCCGA
This 709-nucleotide ribosomal RNA is filed under the name uncultured bacterium. Its description in RNAcentral is "bacterial SSU rRNA". It matches the Rfam family "Bacterial small subunit ribosomal RNA", at positions 1 to 728 of the family's 1533-position model. The record is from RNAcentral.